This 497-nucleotide ribosomal RNA is filed under the name uncultured bacterium. Its description in RNAcentral is "partial 16S ribosomal RNA". It matches the Rfam family "Bacterial small subunit ribosomal RNA", at positions 28 to 507 of the family's 1533-position model. The record is from RNAcentral.
GAUGAACGCUGGCGGCGUGCCUAAUACAUGCAAGUCGAGCGAACAGACGAGGAGCUUGCUCCUCUGACGUUAGCGGCGGACGGGUGAGUAACACGUGGAUAACCUACCUAUAAGACUGGGAUAACUUCGGGAAACCGGAGCUAAUACCGGAUAAUAUAUUGAACCGCAUGGUUCAAUAGUGAAAGACGGUUUUGCUGUCACUUAUAGAUGGAUCCGCGCCGCAUUAGCUAGUUGGUAAGGUAACGGCUUACCAAGGCAACAAUGCGUAGCCGACCUGAGAGGGUGAUCGGCCACACUGGAACUGAGACACGGUCCAGACUCCUACGGGAGGCAGCAGUAGGGAAUCUUCCGCAAUGGGCGAAAGCCUGACGGAGCAACGCCGCGUGAGUGAUGAAGGUCUUCGGAUCGUAAAACUCUGUUAUUAGGGAAGAACAAAUGUGUAAGUAACUAUGCACGUCUUGAGGGUACCUAAUCAGAAAGCCACGGCUAACUACGUG